Molecule: unclassified non-coding RNA, 240 nt
Filed under: soil metagenome
Description: partial contains 5.8S ribosomal RNA, internal transcribed spacer 2, and large subunit ribosomal RNA
Source: RNAcentral
AACGCACGAGACCUGCGGACCUGCGGAAGGAUCAUUAAUGAGAAGCUGCCCCCCGUGGGUAGACCUCCCACCCUCUGUGAACUUACCUUUGUUGCUUUGGCAGGCCCGUCCUCUGGACCGCCGGCUUCGGCUGGCCCGUGCCUGCCAGAGGAUUCCAAACCCUGUCUGUCAGUGUUGUCUGAGUCUAUAUGAAAUCGUUAAAACUUUCAACAAUGGAUCUCUAGAUCGGAAGAGCACACG